Molecule: long non-coding RNA, 480 nt
Filed under: Zea mays
Lineage: Eukaryota; Viridiplantae; Streptophyta; Magnoliopsida; Poales; Poaceae
Description: drought responsive lncRNA
Source: RNAcentral
UACCACAACAAAUUAAAACAAUGUAUGAUCACAAGGGACGGAAAAUCUCCUCGAACGAAUCAAUUUUUUUUUUCACUACGGUGUCCAGGCGGCCGCUGGCGGUGGCGGCGACGAGUAGUCAUACACAGGCAGCUUGGGCAAUGCCCGUGGCGGCGGCGGAGGUGACGGGUACCGCUCCUCAGGUGACACCUCCGAGUACGGCGGGGAAGAAGGCGGUGGAGGCGACGAGUAGUCGUAUUUGGGCAAGCUAGCCGGGGAUGGUGGUGGCGGCGGCGAGAGGUACCGGUCCUCCGGAGACACUUCGUAGUAGGGUGGAGGUGGCGGGUCGUGGUGGAUGGGAGGUGGCGACUCCUGGUGCGCUGGUGGAGGCGGCGAGAGGUAACGCUCCUCCGGUGACUCCUCGUAGUAGGGCGGCGGCGGGACCUCGGUGUAGGCCGGAGGCGGCGGGGAGAGGUACCGUUCCUCUGGUGACUCCUCGUA